GUGGGGAAUAUUGGACAAUGGGCGAAAGCCUGAUCCAGCCAUGCCGCGUGAGUGAUGAAGGCCUUAGGGUUGUAAAGCUCUUUUGUCCGGGAAGAUAAUGACUGUACCGGAAGAAUAAGCCCCGGCUAACUUCGUGCCAGCAGCCGCGGUAAUACGAAGGGGGCUAGCGUUGUUCGGAAUCACUGGGCGUAAAGCGCACGUAGGCGGACCAGUAAGUCAGGGGUGAAAGCCUGGAGCUCAACUCCAGAACUGCCUUUGAUACUGAUGGUCUCGAGUAUGGAAGAGGUUGGUGGAACUGCGAGUGUAGAGGUGAAAUUCGUAGAUAUUCGCAAGAACACCGGUGGCGAAGGCGGCCAACUGGUCCAUUACUGACGCUGAGGUGCGAAAGCGUGGGGAGCAAACAGGAUUAGAUACCCGUGUAGUCC
RNAcentral lists this ribosomal RNA (425 nucleotides) under uncultured bacterium. Its description in RNAcentral is "partial 16S ribosomal RNA". It matches the Rfam family "Bacterial small subunit ribosomal RNA", at positions 354 to 796 of the family's 1533-position model. The record is from RNAcentral.